GUGCUGGUGGCCGGCGCCGCCUUCCAGUUCGUCGCGCAGGACGCCGCCGAGGUGCAGAACUCCUUCACCUACGGCGGUGCCACGCUGCUCCAGUACCC
Molecule: transfer RNA, 98 nt
Filed under: Streptomyces sulfonofaciens
Lineage: Bacteria; Bacillati; Actinomycetota; Actinomycetes; Kitasatosporales; Streptomycetaceae
Description: tRNA-Leu
Source: RNAcentral